ACAGCAGUCAAGAAUAUUAGUCAAUGCUCGCAAGAGUGAACUAGCUAACUGAAAUCACAGGAUCCACUUCGUGUGGUGAAUGUUAUAACGUAAGGGAAAAAAAUGAUAUUACCUUACUAUUAGUGUUGUCCAAAACUGGUGCCAGAAGACUCGGUAAGGCCAGAGACGCAAACGUUAGUCGUCCUAAUCAGGCGUAAAGGGUAAGUAGGCUGCUUUAAAAGUUUAGUAUAAUAUUUUAAUAGCUCUGUUUUAAAAUAAAUAAAUAUCAUUUAUUUAAACAGUAAAAUAUAAAUGAAUUAAAGCUAGGAUCAAAUUGAGGAUAAUUUAAAUAAUACUUAGUGUAGGGUUUACAUCUGGUGAUACUAAGGGGAGUACUAACGGUGAAAGCUUUUUAUCUAGAAAUGAUUGACGCUGAGGAACGAAGGUGAGAAUAGGAAAUAGGAUUAGAUACCCAGAUACCUCUCACAGUCAACGAUGAAUGGUGGUUGUUAGUUAGUUUUAUUUAACUGAUAACGAUGUUAACACGAUAACCAUUCCGCCUUGCGAGUACGGUUGCAAAACUGAAACCAAAAAAAUUAGUCGGUCUCGAAGCAAACGAAGUGAAGCAUGUUAUUUAAUUCGAUAAUCCGCA
This 631-nucleotide ribosomal RNA is filed under the name Entoloma pygmaeopapillatum. RNAcentral's name for it is "SSU rRNA". It matches the Rfam family "Bacterial small subunit ribosomal RNA", at positions 348 to 963 of the family's 1533-position model. The record is from RNAcentral. Lineage: Eukaryota; Fungi; Basidiomycota; Agaricomycetes; Agaricales; Entolomataceae.